RNAcentral lists this ribosomal RNA (492 nucleotides) under uncultured bacterium. RNAcentral describes it as "partial 16S ribosomal RNA". It matches the Rfam family "Bacterial small subunit ribosomal RNA", at positions 29 to 507 of the family's 1533-position model. The record is from RNAcentral.
AGUGAACGCUGGCGGUAGGCUUAACACAUGCAAGUCGAACGGCAGCACAGUAAGAGCUUGCUCUUACGGGUGGCGAGAGGCGGACGGGAGAGGAAAAUAUCGGAAUCUACUUUUUCGUGGGGGUUAACGUAGGUAAACCUAAGCUCAUAUCGCAUACGACCUACGGGUGAAAGGAGUGGAAAUUCUGACCUUGCGCGAUUGAAUGCGCCGCUGUCGGAUUAGCUAGUUGGCGGGGUAAAGGCCAACCAAGGCGACGAUCCGUAGCUGGUCUGAGAGGAUGAUCGGCCACACUGGAAGGGAGACACGGUCCAGACGCCUACGAGAGGCAGCAGUGGGGAAUGUUAGACAGAGGGCGCGAACCUGGUCCAGCCAUACCACGUGUGUGGAAGAGACCUUCGGGUUGUGAAGCCCUUUUGUGGGGUGAGAAAAGCUGCAGGUUAAGACGCCGCUGGACUGACGGUACCGGGUAAAGAAGCACCGGCUAACUUCGUG